Molecule: long non-coding RNA, 820 nt
Filed under: Homo sapiens (human)
Lineage: Eukaryota; Metazoa; Chordata; Mammalia; Primates; Hominidae
Description: non-protein coding lnc-TDRD3-2:5
Source: RNAcentral
UCUGCUCUUCGCAAUAAAUCUUGCUGCUGCUCAUUCUUUGGGUCGCCGCCGCCUUUUAUGAGUUGUAGCACUCACCGCGAAGGUCUGCAGCUUCACUCCUGAAGCCAGCUAGAGCCAGCGAGACCACGAACCCACUGGGAGGGAUGAACAACUCCGGACUCGCCACCUUUAUGAACUGUUAACACUCACAGCGAAGGUCUGCAGCUUCACUCCUGAAGCCAGCGAGACCACAAACCCACUAGGAGGAAUGCACAACUCCUGAUGCCCUGCCUUUAAAAGCUGUAACGGUCACUGCGAAGGUCUGCGGCUUCAUUCCUGAAGUCAGCGAAACCACGAACCCACCUGAAGGAAGAAACUCCGGACACAUCCGAACAUCAGAAGGAACAAACUCUGGACACACCAUCUUUAACUGUAACACUCACCACGAGGGUCCGCAGCUUCAUUCUUAAAGUCAGCGAGACCAAGAACCCACCAAUUCCGGACACGCAAGUAUUCGUAACGACCACCUUAGAUAUUGCUGGCCAGCUCAUGAAUUGUGGCUUGUGGUCCAGCUAAUCUUUCCUAGUCUAUUCAGCUAUGGCCAGAGAAGAUGUGCUUAACUUGUGGAGCCUUACUGUUUCUCUAAGGGACAUUCUUCUACAUAAUGUUGCGUCAGUAGAAUAAUUUUCUCACCAAGUGAUAGGCUAGGUAGGUCAGUAAAUCCUCUCCUACACCGUAGUUAUUUGCUUUAAGCCAACUUGAAGUGAACUUCUGUCUCUUCUUUAAUCUGGAGAAUCUUACGUCUUCAAGCCCUGUUCACACCGCUUGUCCCAUUAGAAUA